AGAGUUUGAUCCUGGCUCAGAUUGAACGCUGGCGGCAUGCUUUACACAUGCAAGUCGAACGGCAGCAUGGGCUUCGGCCUGAUGGCGAGUGGCGAACGGGUGAGUAAUACAUCGGAACGUGCCUAGUAGUGGGGGAUAACUACUCGAAAGAGUAGCUAAUACCGCAUGAGAUCUAAGGAUGAAAGCAGGGGACCUUCGGGCCUUGCGCUACUAGAGCGGCCGAUGGCAGAUUAGGUAGUUGGUGGGAUAAAAGCUUACCAAGCCGACGAUCUGUAGCUGGUCUGAGAGGACGACCAGCCACACUGGGACUGAGACACGGCCCAGACUCCUACGGGAGGCAGCAGUGGGGAAUUUUGGACAAUGGGCGCAAGCCUGAUCCAGCAAUGCCGCGUGCAGGAUGAAGGCCUUCGGGUUGUAAACUGCUUUUGUACGGAACGAAAAGCUUCUGGUUAA
Molecule: ribosomal RNA, 453 nt
Filed under: Comamonas sp. N-31-25-4
Lineage: Bacteria; Pseudomonadati; Pseudomonadota; Betaproteobacteria; Burkholderiales; Comamonadaceae
Description: bacterial SSU rRNA
Rfam family: Bacterial small subunit ribosomal RNA
Source: RNAcentral